RNAcentral lists this ribosomal RNA (1903 nucleotides) under Antheraea assamensis (Indian muga silkmoth). RNAcentral describes it as "SSU rRNA". It matches the Rfam family "Eukaryotic small subunit ribosomal RNA". The record is from RNAcentral. Lineage: Eukaryota; Metazoa; Arthropoda; Insecta; Lepidoptera; Saturniidae.
UCCCUGGUUGAUCCUGCCAGUAGUUAUAUGCUUGUCUCAAAGAUUAAGCCAUGCAUGUCUCAGUGCAAGCCGUAUUAAGGCGAUACCGCGAAUGGCUCAAUAUAUCAGUUUUGGUUCCUUAGAUCUUACUCAGUUACUUGGAUAACUGUGGUAAUUCUAGAGCUAAUACAUGCAAUCAGAACUCUGACCAGUGAUGGGAACGAGUGCUUUUAUUAGAUCAAAACCAAUCGACGGAGGGCCUCGCGUCCGAUGUCGUUAAUUUUGAUGAAUCUGGAUAACUUUUGCCGAUCGCAUGGUCCAGUACCGGCGACGCAUCUUUCAAAUGUCUGCCUUAUCAACUUUCGAUGGUAGUUUCUGCGACUACCAUGGUUGUCACGGGUAACGGGGAAUCAGGGUUCGAUUCCGGAGAGGGAGCCUGAGAAACGGCUACCACAUCCAAGGAAGGCAGCAGGCGCGCAAAUUACCCACUCCCGGCACGGGGAGGUAGUGACGAAAAAUAACGAUACGGGACUCUAACGAGGCCUCGUAAUCGGAAUGAGUACACUUUAAAUAUUUUAACGAGGAACAAUUGGAGGGCAAGUCUGGUGCCAGCAGCCGCGGUAAUUCCAGCUCCAAUAGCGUAUACUAAAAUUGUUGCGGUUAAAAAGCUCGUAGUUGCAUUUGUGCGCCGCGCUGUCGGUGCACCGCAUUAGCGGUGAUACUGACACGUCUGCGGAGCAUAUCGUCGGUGAGCCGUCGGUAAAACGACGGUUCAAUAUCAAAAUCCUAUCGCGGUGCUCUUCGGUGAGUGUCGAGGUGGGCCGACAAUUUUACUUUGAACAAAUUAGAGUGCUCAAAGCGGGCUCAAAAUGCUGCUUGAAUAUUUCGUGCAUGGAAUAAUAGAAUAUGAUCUCGGUUCUAUUUUGUUGGUUUUCAGAACUCCGAGGUAAUGAUUAAUAGGGAUAACUGGGGGCAUUCGUAUUGCGACGUUAGAGGUGAAAUUCUUGGAUCGUCGCAAGACGAACAUCAGCGAAAGCAUUUGCCAAAGGUGUUUUCAUCAAUCAAGAACGAAAGUUAGAGGUUCGAAGGCGAUUAGAUACCGCCCUAGUUCUAACCGUAAAUAUGUCAUCUAGCGAUCCGCCGACGUUACUACAAUGGCUCGGCGGGCAGCUUCCGGGAAACCAAAGAUUUUGGACUCCGGGGGGAGUAUGGUUGCAAAGCUGAAACUUAAAGGAAUUGACGGAAGGGCACCACCAGGAGUGGAGCCUGCGGCUUAAUUUGACUCAACACGGGAAAUCUCACCAGGCCCGGACACCGGAAGGAUUGACAGAUUAACAGCUCUUUCUUGAUUCGGUGGGUGGUGGUGCAUGGCCGUUCUUAGUUGGUGGAGCGAUUUGUCUGGUUAAUUCCGGUAACGAACGAGACUCUAGCCUGCUAAAUAGGCGUCGUCAUUUAGGUGUGCGUGGCUCCGUCACGCAACUCACUGGCGACGUAUUAAAAUUCUUCUUAGAGGGACCGGCGUCUUCGAGCCGCACGAGAUUGAGCAAUAACAGGUCUGUGAUGCCCUUAGAUGUCCUGGGCCGCACGCGCGCUACACUGAAGGAAUCAGCAUGUUCUCCCUGGCCUAGAGGCCCGGGCAACCCGUUGAAACUCCUUCGUGCUGGGGAUUGGGGUUUGCAAUUAUCCCCCAUAAACGAGGAAUUCCUAGUAAGCGCGAGUCAUAAGCUCGCGUUGAUUACGUCCCUGCCCUUUGUACACACCGCCCGUCGCUACUACCGAUUGAAUGAUUUAGUGAGGUCUUCGGACCGACACGCGGUGGCUUCACGGCCGUCGGCGUUGCUGGGAAGUUGACCAAACUUGAUCAUUUAGAGGAAGUAAAAGUCGUAACAAGGUUUCCGUAGGUGAACCUGCGGAAGGAUCAUUA